UGCAACAUUUGUACAGCGUGAUGUACGCCGUGAAAAUUAUUGUUUUCCUUGUUUCUACGACGCUUAUCAUUCUGGCUCAUGUGAGACCACAUCUUUCCUAUAAAACAAUGAGCAUGUUCAAACAAAAUGUAUGUGAUCUUUCAUUUUUCUCCAGAAGACUUAACUGUGUAAUGUUUUCUUAACUUCACCAGUCUUUUAUAAACGGUCGAUAGUUAAGAAUGUGUGUUGAAAACCAGUGUUUUGCGUGUGAUAUGUAAUUAGAAACUAGAAGACGUGCAUUUUCUUGAAAAGAUGAUGGUAAAGUAUGAGUUAAUUACCACCCAUUUAAUGAAUUUCAUAUUUAAAUGAUUUAGAGAUUAAAACCGAAGAAAAAAUGUUUUUAGACCACAACGAGUUUCGAACCGCCGCCCGCCAGCCCACUCGAUUAUUAAUCUAGGACGCCACAAUUUUUUUAGGAAGUUUCCCAGUGACUAAAAGGGGAUGGGUGGGGGCAAAGUGGACAGGGGUCCCAAUCCGAGACCUGGCCACCAUGUCUCGUUCUCACCCUCCAGGAACCAAGGAAAGCGUAGGGAACGUGGAGUAGAGGUACAAUGAACAUCGUGUAUUUAUUUAUUUUCCUUUUUUCCGUUUAAAUAUAUGACAUUAAUACGACUGAGAAUAGAAGGAAACCGGCGUCGCGAGGAGGACGGCGCAGCAAGACGUCAGACUCGUUGAGACUACAGACGUAUAGUUUUCCCGAGAAGAACAUUCCGAUGACCAGAGACUAUAUCAGUUCUAAGUGUGGAAGAGACAGGGAAUCAACUCAUCAUGACAGGAACACCCCAGCUCUGCAGUGGGUUAAGGAAGACACUGCAAAGGGAAUAGGAGAAAAAUUGUAUUUUGCAUUCCGGACAAUUGCACAAUGGCGUUCAUUAAGGAACUGCCAAAAAUCACGGAUACUUUUCUCUCCAUCAGCAAACAAAUAGUGAGCUGCGUGUCCACAGAUCCACUUCACAGAUUUCGUCUUCGCUUGUGGAAAGUAUGCCGGGUCUGGAAAGAGAAGCAGUUUAGUAGGUAUCUGAUGAGAAGUCAUACUGGUAAUUACGGAAACAUCUGUCGCACCAACAUCCAGACACCUCUUGCCGAUCACACCAGGCGGUGCUCGUCUGUGUCCAAAACAUCACAGGGGACACACAGCGAGGUGUCUGCGAGGUGAAUCUCAUGUAAGCGUGACCAGCAUACUUGCUUCCCAUUGACAGUAAGGUAUCAUGCAGACUGGACGUCAUUGUCAAGAUAAGGAGCGCACACCGAUCGCCAAACGGCAAGCCAGUCGACGUCAACGUCUGGUCUUCUGCAAAAUACAGGGUGGAGCCUGAAGGUGUAUAAAGCCCAACACCCCACCCCUCAAUCACACAACCAUCAUCAGUCUUUGACAGUGUCUAGUUGUGUUCGUGUGCUCAUCGCAAGACGAAACGUUCAACCAGUAGCAGCGCCAGCAGCAGUGGUGAUGAGAAACAGCCAGACUUGGACUAACUGCCAUGUAAGUGUUUAUAAAGAAAAUUAUGAGUUCAAAUUGCGACAAUUUUAAGGUUUCGUAGCAAAGUAUUGUAAUUUUUCGAGAUUGUGACACAUUUUCGCAUCAGAUUGUUAUAAAAGUUCUCUUUCUUGCUGUUGCAGCAUUCAUUCAUGAAAUGAAGACUUAGCGCAUUAGCUGUAAGCUUAGAAGCAGCCAUGUAAGUACAUUUCCAAAUUUUGUGUCUGAUGGUUUACAUGUUCAGAACUUGUCGCUUAAAAGUUGAUAGCAGCAGCAAGUCGAAGAGGUUAUGCUACCUUCACGUAAGUGCAUCUCCAAAUUCCCUGUGUGUGUGAUAGCUUACGUGGUCAGAAAACAACUCUCGAUGUAUUCAAAUCGUAACAAGUAUUUAUAAAAGUUUUGAUCUCACUGUUGCAGCACUGGAGCAGCAGUUGACAGCCUUUGCACGGCUGCUGGAGACCAAAAGGCAGCAGCAGCAAGUGUUGCUAUGGAGCAAGAGAAGGAUAAUCUAGCAGGGGUAUGCGUCAAGGAUGAUGACCAGGAGUCGUCACUUCCAUCUGACGAAUUCAGUGGGAUGAUCAAUGGCUUCGCGGCAUUUCUGAGGAGGGUGAAAUACCGAAGUGCAUAAAUGAGAUGGUGGAUUCUGUGUAAGCCGAAAGGCAGUGCCAUCUCGCCCUUUUGGAUGAGGAGGAGGAAAUACUGGAUUGUGUGGGAGAACUAGUAGAAAAACUGACUGAACUGCUUAAUCCUUGAACCCAGAGUAUAAAAGAGUUGUCACCAACACUGCCACUACAACAACUUGCUGUAACAUGGGUGCCUAGAAGGGUGGUUGUGGGGACAGGCGUCAGACAUGCACCCGAGUGCAAACCACUGCUCAUAGCUGUGUGAGAGGCAGUGGACACAGCUGCAGUGUCAGCCCCUGCAGCAUCGCAUUCUCUCUGGCGUCUCUGGGUGGUUCAGUCAGAAGAA
Schistocerca cancellata (South American locust) is the source of this 2482-nucleotide long non-coding RNA. RefSeq lists it as uncharacterized. The transcript is spliced from 4 exons. Lineage: Eukaryota; Metazoa; Arthropoda; Insecta; Orthoptera; Acrididae. The record is from RefSeq and is a predicted model, not a curated record.